GACUACUGGGGGUAUCUAAUCCCAUUCGCUCCCCUAGCUUUCGUCCCUCAGUGUCAGUUGCGGCCUAGUAGAGCGCCUUCGCCACCGGUGUUCUUCCUGAUCUCUACGCAUUUCACCGCUACACCAGGAAUUCCCUCUACCCCGAACGCACUCAAGUUUUGUAGUUUCCACUGCCAUUAUGUAGUUGAGCUACACGCUUUAACAGCAGACUUACAAAACCACCUACGAACGCUUUACGCCCAAUUAUUCCGGAUAACGCUUGCAUCCUCCGUAUUACCGCGGCUGCUGGCACGGAGUUAGCCGAUGCUGAUUCCUCAAGUACCGUCAUUAUCUUCCUUGAGAAAAGAGGUUUACAACCCAAGAGCCUUCCUCCCUCACGCGGCGUUGCUCCGUCAGGCUUUCGCCCAUUGCGGAAAAUUCCCCACUGCUGCCUCCCGUAGGAGUUUGGGCCGUGUCUCAGUCCCAAUGUGGCUGAUCAUCCUCUCAGACCAGCUACUGAUCGUCGCCUUGGUAUGCUUUUACCACACCAACUAGCUAAUCAGACGCGAGCUCAUCUCCAGGCAAUAAAUCUUUCACUGUUAAGCACAUUCGGUAUUAGCAGUCGUUUCCAACUGUUGUCCCGAACCUGAAGGCAGAUUCUCACGCGUUACUCACCCGUCCGC
RNAcentral lists this ribosomal RNA (662 nucleotides) under uncultured cyanobacterium. RNAcentral describes it as "partial 16S ribosomal RNA". The record is from RNAcentral. Lineage: Bacteria; Bacillati; Cyanobacteriota.